Molecule: ribosomal RNA, 735 nt
Filed under: Dirofilaria repens
Lineage: Eukaryota; Metazoa; Nematoda; Chromadorea; Rhabditida; Onchocercidae
Description: SSU rRNA
Rfam family: Eukaryotic small subunit ribosomal RNA
Source: RNAcentral
GCCAGCAGCCGCGGUAAUUCCAGCUCUCAAAGUGUAUAUCGUCAUUGCUGCGGUUAAAAAGCUCGUAGUUGGAUCUGCGUCUGAGGACCUGGUCCAUCCAUUGGAUGAGAACUGGGCUCCUAGACUAAUAUUGCGAGUUUUCCAUACGUUACCUUGAUCGGUUGCGUAUGGUGGCUAGCAAGUUUACCUUGAAAAAAUUAGAGUGCUCAAUGCGGGCUAAUGCCUGAAUACUCGUGCAUGGAAUAAUGGAAUAGGAUCUCGGUUCUAUUUUGUUGGUUUUCUGAUCUGAGAUAAUGGUUAAGAGGGACGGACGGGGGCAUUCGUAUCGCUGCGUGAGAGGUGAAAUUCUUGGACCGUAGCGAGACGUACGACUGCGAAAGCAUUUGCCAAGAAUGUCUUCAUUAAUCAAGAACGAAAGUCAGAGGUUCGAAGGCGAUCAGAUACCGCCCUAGUUCUGACCGUAAACGAUACCAACUAGCGUUCCGUUGGCGGUAAAUACGCCUUGACGGGCAGCUUCCCGGAAACGAAAGUUUUUCGGUUCCGGGGGAAGUAUGGUUGCAAAGCUGAAACUUAAAGAAAUUGACGGAAGGGCACCACCAGGAGUGGAGCCUGCGGCUUAAUUUGACUCAACACGGGAAAACUCACCUGGCCCGGACACCGUGAGGAUUGACAGAUUGAGAGCUCUUUCAUGAUUCGGUGGUUGGUGGUGCAUGGCCGUUCUUAGUAGGUGGAGUG